Molecule: ribosomal RNA, 207 nt
Filed under: uncultured bacterium
Lineage: Bacteria
Description: partial 16S ribosomal RNA
Rfam family: Bacterial small subunit ribosomal RNA
Source: RNAcentral
CGCGUAGGUGGUUUUGUGUGUCUACCGUGAAAGCAUACGGCUCAACCGUGUUCCGUCGGUAGAAACUGCAGAACUUGAGGCUGGGAGGGGCUGGUGGAAUUCCCUGUGUAGCGGUGAAAUGCGUAGAGAUGGGGGAGAACACUCGUGGCGAAGGCGGCCAGCUAGACCAGUUCUGACACUGAGGCGCGACAGCGUGGGGAGCAAACA